This 258-nucleotide long non-coding RNA is filed under the name Prunus persica (peach). Its description in RNAcentral is "long non-coding RNA (PPER_LNC006110)". The record is from RNAcentral. Lineage: Eukaryota; Viridiplantae; Streptophyta; Magnoliopsida; Rosales; Rosaceae.
GAAGAGAGAAGGAGGAGAAAGAGAGGUCUAGGAGGAGUGUGAGUCGAUCCGAACGGGAAGAGAAAGAUAGGCCUCGCAGAAGUAGUGACCGUGAAGAGAAAGAGAGGCCUCGCAGAAGUAGUGACCGCGAAGAGAAAGAAAGGGCUCACAGAAGUAGCGACCGCGAAGAGAAAGAGAGGCCUCGCAAAAGUAUCGACCGCGAAGAGAAGGAGAGGUCUCGCAGAAGUAGAAGCCGCUCUGAUCGUGAUAGGGAGAGGG